AGGCGCGAUGCUGGCGCCGAGCGACGCCGUGGCGUGUUCGUCCUCUGCGUGAUCGUUCUCUGGACCGCGCGUUCAGGCGCGUUGUUCAACAUUGCUCAUGUAAUCGUGCGUGCGUUGCUGGUGUGUUGGUUGUAGGUUCUGCGUUACUUGGCGGAAAGCCGUGAGUAGUGCCGGUGCGGCAAUGCGGCUUUGGCCUCGAUGAGCUCUGGCACUACAGAAUCUGCGUUGUGUGAUCCGUGCUUUCUUGAGAACCCGGCGGUGGUGACAAUUGAAAUGUCGAAGUGGCCUAGCGCCUCGGCAGCGAAGUUCUGCGAACCGCGAUGUGGCGUCGCCGUGUCCGACUUUGCUUAACGGACAUCGAGGGAUGUGCUGCUCGCUGCAAGUCAUGUAAAUGCAACUGCGUCGACCGCCCACUGUUCAGCGCUGAAUGUGUGUUUGGUGUGCUGUGCUUGAAACGAGUGGUGCAGCCGUGCAGCGGGGGUGACGGAGGAGCUGAGUGGCUUAGGGGCUCCGUUUGCGCGUUCACAGACAUGUCCCGUCUUGGUCUCAUUAGCGCCUGUCGCGGGACUGUCGUGUGCUAGCUCCUUGCCUAGUAUGAAGUUUACGACGCUAACACACAGCAUGUUCACGUUUUUCCGCGCUAUAUGUCAUUUGCAUGACGGCCGAGUUGAAAACGGGACAUAUAGUGUUCUUUGCGCUUGUGUGUUGUAAAUUACUUUCUGUUGUGGAAGUUCUGGGAGUCUUAUUACGCAAGAAGUGCGAACGUAAACAUAAACACAUAUGUGUGUCUGAAAUUUUGAAUUACCCAUAAUAGCCUUUACGACUGAUAAGUGAGCUACACGGCCUGUGUGAAUCAGCUACCGUAUGUUGCGACGCUCAACCGUGUGGUAGAAUGAUAUGCAUGGUGCGCGUUUAUUUAUGUACUGUUGUAAAAACCAUUUGUUUAUUCACUCAAUACAAAUGUACAGCUUCUUCGCCGCAGUACAUUUUAGUUACGCGGUGAAGCAUACUAAAAGUGGGAGGGGGCCACUAUUGUCAGACACGCAUCGUAGGGCGGUGAUAAAGGGAAUACCCCGUUUAUUCCGAUGAUGUGCAAUAUAUACAGAAGCACUAGUCACAUGACUUUUGUUAUAAGUGCGGGAUGACAGCCAAAGAAGUGUGCUCGUGUUUUAUCUGCAGGCUGACGUCACAACUAUCAGCCAGCAUAGUAUGUCCGCUUAGGCGACCUGAGAGGCGGCGGGUGCGCGAGUGUAUAAUUUAAGAACUCUUAUUAUGUCCAGUGACAGUGGAGAUCAUUAACUGUAGCACCAAAGUAGUGGACCACUACCAGAACAAAGGCAAGUAGUAUGCCCAUCUCAAUUCUUGUGCUUAUGCCAGUCUUAUUUUUUACAGGAAUAGCUGCUAUGGGCUAACUCCCCUGGUUGUUCUGAUGUCUACUGGUGUUGUCACUGGAAUUCCCGAAUUUCUUGCUAGAAUAUUGCAAAUAAAGUUCUCAUUGUGCUGCGAGGAUUCAAACAUACGAUCUCCCUACUCUGCACCGCUUCUAAGGUUAUGGAACACUUUAUUUCUAAGCAUUUAAGUUCGUUUUUAGAAAAUAAUGUCUUCUUUAGCGAGAGUCAGCACGGAUUCAGGCGUGGCUUUUCAACCACUAUGCAGUUACUUCAUAUGACCAACGAAAUACUGGCAAUCUUGGAUCAAGGUGGGCAAGUAGACAUUCUUUUUUUAGAUUUCGAGAAAGCCUUCGAUCGGGUUUCACACAAGAAAAUGAUGAUACAGCUAAACAGCAUCAUACGCAGCGAACAAAUUUUGCGUUGGCUUGAUUCGUACUUGACGCAUCGAAAACAAUUUGUCAGCAUAGGUGCUUCGAAUUCGUCGCUCGCCUCUGUACUUUCGGGCAUUCCACAGGGCUCGGUUUUAGGGCGACUUCUUUUUCUUAUCUACCUAAAUGACCUGGCUUGCAAAUUUUCCGUGCGGUGCCGCUUUUUUGCGGACGAUUGUAUUGUUUAUUCGAGCAUUCAAUCUGUGGAUGACCAAUCUAGCUUAAUGUAUUAAACAGUUGCAAGCAUGAUAAUUCACCCAUAUUUCGUACUUGUUGGUUCCAAAUGUUCUUGCUGUUCAGUUUGGUUUACCGCAGGGCAUUUAUUUUCGCAGUAGUGAAGCGGUGCAUCACGUUCGUGCAGAAAAAUAAUGCAUCAGUUCUAAUAGCUUCAUGACUUUCAUGCAUUUGCUUGUGGAACCAGCAGUGUGAUCUCUUAUAGUGUAUAAAUGAACACACAAAUGUUCUCAUUUGUGAUCUUAAUAAUAAUUGAGCUGUUGACAUGCAUUGUAGUUAGGCAGACAUCAAUCUUAUGGACAAUAGUAAUAUUUAUUUAACAUGCUGCUUAAGCACCCUAGAACAGACAGUGUACAUUUGCAUGUGUUCUGUGGUCGCAAACCAUUACAAUAUAUAUGUCACACCUUUUUGCAUUUCAUAUUGCAAAAUUUUGCUUUUUUCAAUUUCUGAUUCAGUCAAAAUUUCUGUUUCAGACAUGCAGUAAUGAGGACGGCACCAGUAUAAAGCAACACACUCCAUGCACUAAACAGAAGCUGCUGCCUGCUACAACAAGGUCGUUGUGUGGACGUUGGCUACUACUACAAGAGUCUAUGCCAAGCACCUCUUGGUCAUCGCAGGAGCUCCUAUCUGCACCAACAGGAAGGGGCUGGAGCCGAAUUUGCAAGGCUUUUACACCACGAACAAAGAAGCGCAUGCAGAAGAAUAUGGAUGAGAUAUCAAGUCUGCAGAGGACUGUGUUAAGACUGAAAAGAGCUUCAGCCACCAUGACACCAGCACGGACAUUUGGCUGAGUCAUCCAGGUAACUCAAAAAGGACUUUCUAGAAUGUCUUCGUCUUCAGAUACACCUGCAGCAUCCUCCGACCAAGCACGGACGACGCUGGCCAAAAGAUCGAAUUCCGUCAGUUUGCCCUUAAUCAGCUUCCUAGCCAUGUCAAUUCCAUUUGUGCCAAGUGUAUUUUUUCUUCUAUAAAUGCAAGCUUUUUCAUUGCC
Non-coding RNA from Dermacentor andersoni, 3044 nucleotides. The record is from RefSeq and is a predicted model, not a curated record. NCBI's taxonomy places the organism in Eukaryota, Metazoa, Arthropoda, Arachnida, Ixodida, Ixodidae.